Molecule: ribosomal RNA, 279 nt
Filed under: uncultured bacterium
Lineage: Bacteria
Description: partial 16S ribosomal RNA
Rfam family: Bacterial small subunit ribosomal RNA
Source: RNAcentral
UGCCAGCAGCCGCGGUAAGACGAACCGUCCAAACGUUAUUCGGAAUCACUGGGCUUAAAGGGUGCGUAGGCGGCGCGGAAAGUUGGGUGUGAAAUACCUCGGCUCAACCGAGGAACUGCGCCCAAAACUACCGUGCUCGAGGGAGAUAGAGGUGAGCGGAACUUAGGGUGGAGCGGUGAAAUGCGUUGAUAUCCUAAGGAACACCGGUGGCGAAAGCGGCUCACUGGAUCUCUUCUGACGCUGAGGCACGAAAGCUAGGGUAGCGAACGGGAUUAGAUA